RNAcentral lists this ribosomal RNA (253 nucleotides) under uncultured bacterium. RNAcentral describes it as "partial 16S ribosomal RNA". It matches the Rfam family "Bacterial small subunit ribosomal RNA", at positions 524 to 776 of the family's 1533-position model. The record is from RNAcentral.
UACGUAGGGUGCAAGCGUUGUCCGGAAUUAUUGGGCGUAAAGAGCUCGUAGGCGGUUUGUCGCGUCUUUUGUGAAAACUCGGGGCUUAACUCCGGGCCUGCAGUGGGUACGGGCAGGCUAGAGUGCGGUAGGGGAGACUGGAAUUCCUGGUGUAGCGGUGAAAUGCGCAGAUAUCAGGAGGAACACCGGUGGCGAAGGCGGGUCUCUGGGCCGUAACUGACGCUGAGGAGCGAAAGCGUGGGGAGCAAACAGG